CAUGCAAGCCGAGCGGUAGAGAUUCUUCGGGAUCUUGAGAGCGGCGUACGGGUGCGGAACACGUGUGCAACCUGCCUUUAUCAAGGGGAUAGCCUUUCGAAAGGAAGAUUAAUACCCUAUAAUAUAUGAUUCGGCAUCGGAUUAUAUUGAAAACUACGGUGGAUAAAGAUGGGCACGCGCAAGAUUAGCUAGUUGGUGAGGUAACGGCUCACCAAGGCGACGAUCUUUAGGGGGCCUGAGAGGGUGAUCCCCCACACUGGUACUGAGACA
This 270-nucleotide ribosomal RNA is filed under the name Elizabethkingia miricola. Its description in RNAcentral is "partial 16S ribosomal RNA". It matches the Rfam family "Bacterial small subunit ribosomal RNA", at positions 54 to 326 of the family's 1533-position model. Lineage: Bacteria; Pseudomonadati; Bacteroidota; Flavobacteriia; Flavobacteriales; Weeksellaceae. The record is from RNAcentral.